This 496-nucleotide ribosomal RNA is filed under the name uncultured bacterium. RNAcentral describes it as "partial 16S ribosomal RNA". It matches the Rfam family "Bacterial small subunit ribosomal RNA", at positions 29 to 507 of the family's 1533-position model. The record is from RNAcentral.
ACGAACGCUGGCGGCGUGCCUAAUACAUGCAAGUUGAGCGCUGAAGGUUGGUACUUGUACCAACUGGAUGAGCAGCGAACGGGUGAGUAACGCGUGGGGAAUCUGCCUUUGAGCGGGGGACAACAUUUGGAAACGAAUGCUAAUACCGCAUAAAAACUUUAAACACAAGUUUUAAGUUUGAAAGAUGCAAUUGCAUCACUCAAAGAUGAUCCCGCGUUGUAUUAGCUAGUUGGUGAGGUAAAGGCUCACCAAGGCGAUGAUACAUAGCCGACCUGAGAGGGUGAUCGGCCACAUUGGGACUGAGACACGGCCCAAACUCCUACGGGAGGCAGCAGUAGGGAAUCUUCGGCAAUGGACGAAAGUCUGACCGAGCAACGCCGCGUGAGUGAAGAAGGGUUUCGGAUCGUAAAACUCUGUUGGUAGAGAAGAACGUUGGUGAGAGUGGAAAGCUCAUCAAGUGACGGUAACUACACAGAAAGGGACGGCUAACUACGUG